AGCAGCCGCGGUAAUUCCAGCUCCAAUAGCGUAUAUUAAAGUUGUUGCAGUUAAAAAGCUCGUAGUUGAAUUUCGGGGUUAGCAAGUUGGUCGUGCCUUCGGUAUGCACUGGCUUUGCCGAUUCCUCCUUCUUGAAGAACUGUGAUGCUAUUAAUUUGGUGUUGCAGGGAAACAGGACUGUUACUUUGAAAAAAUUAGAGUGUUUAAAGCAGGCUAACGCUUGAAUACAUUAGCAUGGAAUAAUGAAAUAGGACGUUUGAUCCUAUUUUGUUGGUUUCUAGGAUUGACGUAAUGAUUAAUAGGGAUAGUUGGGGGCAUUAGUAUUCAAUUGUCAGAGGUGAAAUUCUUGGAUUUAUUGAAGACUAACUACUGCGAAAGCAUUUGCCAAGGAUGUUUUCAUUAAUCAAGAACGAAAGUUAGGGGAUCGAAGACGAUCAGAUACCGUCGUAGUCUUAACCAUAAACUAUGCCGACUAGGGAUCGAAUGAUGUUAAUUUUUAAUGACU
This 505-nucleotide ribosomal RNA is filed under the name uncultured Glomus. RNAcentral describes it as "SSU rRNA". It matches the Rfam family "Eukaryotic small subunit ribosomal RNA", at positions 569 to 1076 of the family's 1831-position model. Lineage: Eukaryota; Fungi; Glomeromycota; Glomeromycetes; Glomerales; Glomeraceae. The record is from RNAcentral.